UCAUUUUCAGAUCUUGUCAUUUAAUUUUAGAUAUGAGCAAAGGCCAGACCCAAAAAGAUAUUUUGCAUUUAUGUGUCCUAUAUAAAGAUGUUCAGCUAGGUGUGUGCAAGAUUUUCAUUAUUAGCUCAUCUGGCCCAAAGGGCCAAGUGACCUUUUCUCAUCACUUUUUGUCCGUUGUCAUCCGUUAAGUUUUACAAAAAUCUUCUCUGGAACUGCCAGGCCAAAUUGCCAUAAUCAUCCUUAGAGUAUGUUGUUUCUAAUUAAUAUCAUAUGUCCUUGCCAGUCAAACAACAUGGCCGCCAGGGCUAAAAAUAGAACAUUGGGGUAAAAUGCAAAUAUUGAUUACUAUCUUGAAAACUGUUGC
This 364-nucleotide long non-coding RNA is filed under the name Mytilus galloprovincialis (Mediterranean mussel). The record is from RNAcentral. Lineage: Eukaryota; Metazoa; Mollusca; Bivalvia; Mytilida; Mytilidae.